Non-coding RNA from Schistocephalus solidus, 73 nucleotides. The record is from Rfam. NCBI's taxonomy places the organism in Eukaryota, Metazoa, Platyhelminthes, Cestoda, Diphyllobothriidea, Diphyllobothriidae.
GGGCACGUGGCGCAAUGGAUAACACGUCUGACUAUGGAUCAGAAGAUUCCAGGUUCGAAUCCUGGCAUGCUCA